This 468-nucleotide ribosomal RNA is filed under the name uncultured bacterium. Its description in RNAcentral is "partial 16S ribosomal RNA". It matches the Rfam family "Bacterial small subunit ribosomal RNA", at positions 28 to 507 of the family's 1533-position model. The record is from RNAcentral.
GACGAACGCUGGCGGCGUGCUUAACACAUGCAAGUCGAACGGAAAGGCCCUGCUUUUGUGGGGUGCUCGAGUGGCGAACGGGUGAGUAACACGUGAGUAACCUGCCCUUGACUUUGGGAUAACUUCUGGAAACUGGGGCUAAUACCGGAUAUGAGCUCCUGCUGCAUGGUGGGGGUUGGAAAGUUUCGGCGGUUGGGGAUGGACUCGCGGCUUAUCAGCUUGUUGGUGGGGUAGUGGCGUACCAAGGCUCUGACGGGUAGCCGGCCUGAGAGGGUGACCGGGCACAUUGGGACUAAGAUACGGCGCAGACGGCUACGGGAGGCAGCAGUGGGGAAUAUUGCAGAAUGGGCGGAAGCCUGAGGCAGCAACUCCGCGUGCGGGAUGACGGCCUUCGGGUUGUAAACCGCUUUCGCCUGUGACGAAGCGUGAGUGACGGUAAUGGGUAAAGAAGCACCGGCUAACUACGUG